UGAGGAAUAUUGGUCAAUGGGCGCAAGCCUGAACCAGCCAAGUAGCGUGAGGGACGACGGCCCUAUGGGUUGUAAACCUCUUUUAUGCGGGGAUAACCGGUGCCACGCGUGGCGCCCUGCAGGUACCGCAUGAAUAAGGACCGGCUAAUUCCGUGCCAGCAGCCGCGGUAAUACGGAAGGUCCGGGCGUUAUCCGGAUUCAUUGGGUUUAAAGGGAGCGUAGGCCGCCCUUUAAGCGUGUUGUGAAAUGUAGGGGCUCAACCCCUGCACUGCAGCGCGAACUGGAGGGCUUGAGUACACGCAAGGCAGGCGGAAUUCGUGGUGUAGCGGUGAAAUGC
RNAcentral lists this ribosomal RNA (337 nucleotides) under uncultured Prevotella sp. RNAcentral describes it as "bacterial SSU rRNA". It matches the Rfam family "Bacterial small subunit ribosomal RNA", at positions 355 to 689 of the family's 1533-position model. The record is from RNAcentral. Lineage: Bacteria; Pseudomonadati; Bacteroidota; Bacteroidia; Bacteroidales; Prevotellaceae.